UUUGCGUGUAGAGAACACAUUAACGUUCGAAUGGGCUUCGCAGUGUAAUUGAAUUUUUCGGUGUGAUUUUGGUGAUUUUAAAGAAAAUACCAGGCCACCGAGUUGAGGCGUCCGCCAAAGAUUCUUCGAGUAAACUAUUGUGCCAUCAUCUGGAUCAGACAUUUGGAUGUUUUUGUAUUUGUUUUCUGAUAGGUUGUCUGCGCCAUUUUGGGGAUGUGAUAUAUGUACGUACCUCAUGCAUCCACAUGAGGUUCUUAUUUUUGCUUUGUUGGCACAAUGGCAAUUAGUUGAUACGUCUUACACUCGUACGUAAACCCCGAUCAACACCUACAGGGCAACGUUUUGGAAUUCGACAACUAUUUGCUGUUCGCUGCUGGAGUGACUCGCUUAAUUUGGUAGCAGCUCUUCACCGCAACCAGUCAAUCGAUCGCGACCGUGCUAUCGGAUACAGCCGGAGUCUAAAUCAGCGUACACGACUGCAGCCACUACUUACAGGAACCGCAAGAUUUUUUGGGUUUCCUAUUUUCUACAUGGGAUAUUCAAGCUUGCGAUUGCUAGUCGCAGGAACAGGGUAGAAUUUGGUUUUUGGAGUGACAGCUUACUUUUCACACCAGAUCGGCUAACUCCCGGUUUGGUGGAGCUUUUUGCAGCCCAACAGCUCCUUCAUUCUGUUGUUCGCCUGUAGAUCAUUGGCCAGGAUGACUGUUUCCCCAUAGAAAGAAAUCUAAAUCAGAGCUAACAGCUGUCCAAGGUAUUGUUCCGGGUCGACCUAUCCAAGUUGUAAAUGGGUUGUUCAGUCAGUUAAUAACAGAUCGUGACGUAUGGUAAGGAGCACUAUCUUGUUGAAAGAUUUGAUCAUGUUUAACUUGUUCCAGUAGAGCGUCAAUAAGCGGAUAAUUCUGCUAGCUAAUAGGUUUAAAUACCGAUCACCAUUAAGAUGGCCUUCAUAAAAAAUAGAUAUUAUACCACACUAACUUCUGUAACCCUGCUUCUGAAUAAUUUUAACACGGUGUUUGUUACUAGUAGAUCUACUAAUAAUGCCGGUCGUAUUAAAAAAACUUUCGUCAGUCCAUAAUGCUGUUUCAAAUAUGGAUUCAAAGUAACGGUCCAUCAUUAGAGCGCAAAAUGUUGCUCUUGCAUCCUUAUCUUCAGCUGUUAAUAACUGAACAGGGAGGAAUUUUAAUGGAAAAUAAUUUUGAGUGAAUAGAGUUGAAUGCCAAUUUGACUGAGUUCUCGGGUUCGUUCUGGUGUUUUUUUAUGGCUGAAGUAUUUCGUAGGUUACGCACUAUUCUACUAAAAAUCUGUUUAGUAGGUAAUCUGCUUGCUGCAUAUAAUUGCCGGUACUCCCGAAGAGCCAAAGCUGGACUUUCAUUAUUGGGAAUAAAGCACUCAUAUAACUGGAAACGCACUUCAUCAGUGUAUGGAGCCAUAUUUUUGACAGUAAUAAGAUAAAAACGACGGAUUUACAUUUUACCUAGAGCCUGUGACAUUUCCGGCUUUUUUGUUUAUCAUAUUCUUCUUUAUUGACUUUUUAUUCGUUGUCAAGUAUAACACAGCACGAAACCCGCAGUAAAAUCGUCAUAUAAGAAUAUUAAUUUGACAAUCGUUCGAAAGCUAAACAUUUUCAGCAUAGACAACCUAAUCUUAUCCAAACUUAUUUUUAUUUUUAAUGGUAAAUAAGAUAAAAUUAUGAAAUUUGGGGGUUUCCAUUUAAUGAUUUUUGGAAGUUUUCUUAAUUUAGUAUUUAUUGUUACUUUUUGAACACCCUGUAUUAUUAGUCAUGAAAGGAUUAUAGAAGUUCUCUUAAACCCAAAUUAAAAAAUAACGAUUUCCUUUUAGAAAAAAAUUCUUGUUAGUCCUAGGGCCUGCAAAUGACAUAUUUGAGAUAAAAAUGUAGACAUAGGAAGACAUUGGUAUAGAGCAUUAUAUAUGAAAUUUUCCUAGAAACUUAGGUAGAAUCCAAAAAUGUAAUAAUGUGCAGGAUCCAUUAAAAAGUUGUGUUUACCCAAACAACAUAUUCUUGCUUGCUCCUGGGACAUACGGACAUGUCAGCAGUGGCGGAGCAUACGCAUCAUGUUUGAAGACACUCAGGUACUGGACAGGACAACACAUUUUUAUCCACGACUUUUCAGAGAAGCCAUUGAAAUUCAGAAACAUCAGAAUAAUUUCAACAGAAAAGAAAAAGGCCUUAACGUCAGCAGAACGUCAUAAACAAAAAAUCAUGUCUACCCGGACGAAUACGACCUAUGCCUAAUAGCGAGGCCUCGCCCACUCCAGCGCGCUUAUAUACCGGGGAUUCUCCACUAGGCAAAUCAGUCAUCGCAUCUUGAAAAUGUCUGCCGCAGUUGUAGACGAAACGUCGAGUGUAAUCUCGGGGCCACGGCUCAAAAGCCCGGAAAUACUUAGCAGUGUAGUUUGUGGCCGUGAAAGCCUAACAUCUUUGAUACACUGAUGUGUUUUUAAAACCCACCUGGUGGCGAUCUCUGUGUAUAAUUAUCUUGAGAGUCAUAAGCUCUUAGCAGUGUAUAUUUCGGUGAUUUUGGAAUUUUUCAAUUUUGAGGCACCUCUCAUAUCUCCGAUAUUCUAUGAAAUAUCGGAAAGGUGAAAAGGGCAUCCGAUGUUAUAUGUCCUAUAUGUUAUUCAAAAAGAUAAACCGAAACGUCAACCUAGAUAUUAAAACAAUUAUUUAAAGUGAUAAGGAACAUAAAAUUUUUUAGCAUUUUUUGCAAAUCUGAACAUAAUUCUUUUAAUUAAUAAAGCUACGUUUUAGUUUCAGUGUGGCCUGUUUACUAGGCACCGAAAUCGUAUAUCGUAUUCUUGGAGAUAAUUUGAUUGGUGUAGGUUGUGCUUUAGAGAAAAUGGUUGACACUUUCAACAGUUUUUUUGGCUUUUUAAAUUAAAGCGAUAGAAUUCAGAUUGGCAAAAAAUGUUAAUAUUUAAUGUUUUUUAUGUUUAUCUUUGGCGGAUCGGGUGCAGAUGGAGGCGGCCAGGACGGCUGUGAGGCUGGCGAGCUGCGGGCUCUGGAGGGAGGGAAGCUUCAAUCGGGGCUUGUACUACAUUUUAGAGGGCGGGCCUAAGGAUCGCGGGGUCAUGGGCAUGCCGAGUGAUGUCAUGAUCCCCGAGAUGACCUUCUUUGACAAAUGGACCUUUCUGUUCCCAUCAAUUGAAAAGUGGAGAGAGGGCAGAGUCGGCUUCUGGGAUGGACUUAUCUGGCACACGGACGGGUCCAGAAUUGGAGAUCAGCCGGAGCUGGAGCGUACUGCGAGACAACGGGAUCGAGCUUGGGUUUGGGUCAGUACUGCACUGUGUUUCAGGCGGAAAUUUUCGCUUUAUUGAUGGCGGCCAGAGAGUUGCUUUGGCUCAACCACGGAAGCAGGAGGGUCUUCUUCUGCUCGGAUAGGAGGGCUGCACUUAUGGAGCUGAAGUCAGUGCGCACGCGCUCCUUGUUGAUAAAGGAGUGCAAAGGGGUACUGAAGAGAGUGGCCGAGGAGAGGAAUGUCACGUUGCUCUGGGUCGCGAGAGUCACACCGGUAUCCGAGGCAAUGAGGCAGCGGACGGUAUUGGGCUACAAUAGUUGUUGACCUUCUAUAGAGGGGGGGGGGGACGCAGGGCGCCCCACUUUAGUACCAAUACCAAUACCCCUUCCUUUCCAACGGGUUUGCUAAAUCAUAAUUGCUAAUUUGAUAAGUCUGGUAGAAAAAAUUCCUUCUUGAGAGAAGUGUACUACGCAUCCAUCGUGUUGCAGCUACGCAUCUCCUCUCGUAGAGGGACGUUUUUUUUUUUUUUUAUAAAAUCGGCAAGUAGUUAAAUCGAUCACCCAAAAUACGACUCUCGACUUUCACAUUCGACCUCUUUUGAUAAUUCGCUUUCACGCAUCCAAUGGAAAUUCACUGGCGAUAAUGCAUAUUAUGCAUUGCAUUGAAAGGCAUCAAUAUACAUGCUAUGCAAAUUGACUAUUUCUUUGCUCGAAAAAGUAGCUUCAUUUGUUCAUAAUAUUCGAAAUAAAAAAUGUGGGCUCCUCAUCUAUCCUACAAUUUAGCCAAUUAUAGUAUUCUAUUCAAAGAGAAUUUUAAGUAAUUUAGUAUAACGGCGUAGGUAGUGGUCUUUUAGAAUUCAGUGUAUCGAUGUUUUACUAAUACCCAAGUUAAGCCUGAAUGGGCCAUAGGCAAAAACAAUGAUGACGUUUCGUCCUGUUUUGAGCCAAUAUUUACUUAAACGACUACGACUUUAGGAUAAGAAAAAUAUAUUGGCGGUUUUCACUGGGUUGUUCAUUUGUUUGACUAUUAAUAAAAAAUCAUAUCUUCGCAUUUUUUUCUUUACAAAAUUCUGUCUAGUGCCAUUUCAGAACCUCAAGAAUAAUUUUGGUCAUUCAAUUUUUUUUUCAAAAUUUUAAAAACAUGCAUUUCCCCAAUAUCGUACCUAAUUGCCCCUACUAAGACACACACAUAGAUUAAAAGGAAGCUGGUAUAAAGGAAAUGAUUAAGUUAGAACUUGAUCAUAUUUAUUUAUUGAAGACCUUUUUAAAAUUAAAACAAUAAAAACAAAACAAAACAAUAAAAUAAAAACAAUAUGUGAGUAUGUCCAUGAUUUGAACAAAUUUAAAAAUUAUAAUUAAUAACUGACCGAUAAAACUGAGCAAUGAGUUUUUUGCAGGUUAAUUGCAAGGUCAUAGUAAUGUUUUUUCUAAAUCUCAUGGAGGUAAGAAGUUGAGAAUGUUUAGCUCCACAUUUUGUAGCUAAGCCCUUCAUGACAUUUCCAUCCAUUCCAAAUCUUCUGUGGUCUGUGAAUAUUGUAUACGGCUUCCUUUUGGGAAUCACAUCUCUAAUUUUAAGAGACAAUAUGCUUUUAAAAAUGAUAGAAAUAGGUUUUGUUCCUUUGCCUCCUGUAACCACUCUUAAAUUGUUUGAAUAUAAUUUUUUCCGCGGUAAUUAAGGAUUCAGCAUAAACUGCCUGAUUAAAUAUGGUGGUUUGAGCUGGUACAUAUUCACCACGUCACACCACACACACGCACACCAUCACACGCACACCACCAUAGACACACCACCACACCAGGAUCGGACAAUUACUCCCAUUCAUUUCUUUAAAAUUUGCAUUUAAUAUUGAAAUUGUAUAAAUAGAACAAAUGUGGCACUGGAACAUAUGAUAUCGGGAUUUAGCGUUAAAUUUUAGUUACAAGAGAAUAGCUUCAUUUUGUUUGAUUCCGGCCUUAACCCCUACGUCCUGUUCUCAAACUUCAGCCAUCUGAAAUCCAAGAUACCUAAAUUUAGCUACUUGUUGUAGCACUUCGUUAUUUACCCUUGUGUUCGUUGGCCCAAAUACCUUUUUGGAAAUAACCGCAACAUUAUUCUUAGAACAUUGUGUUCAGUUCGUAUUCGUUCCCGACUUUUGUAACUCUUGAAGCGAAGCUUCGUUUUCCGUAUCCGUAGAUUGUUUAAGACCUCCCUAUUUAUUUUAACAUCUUUCACGAAACCAUUUAAAAAUCUUUCGCUUUAAGAGAUCAAUUCUCUCGACCGCUCUCUCAUAAUCGAUAGUGUGGUGGGAAUUUGCAAGUUACUGAUUUUAAAAUGUCUAAACUUUACUCAGUAUAUGCCGCAUUCACAAGACUUUCUCGAUCUCGGAAAAGUCUUACCAUAUAAUCUUCUCUUGUGUAGUUAUUUUUUUGGAUAUUUUUAAGAUUUUAUUUUCGUUGUGAAGCAGUCGAUGCGGAGGUUUACUUUUAAAUAAACCAUAGAUUUCCUUUUAUAAAAUCAUGGUCAUCGCGCAUCGUCACGCAUCAUCUGGAGCGCGUCAAUCUACCUGUAGGAUUUUAUAGUUGACUCUUCCUUCGCUUCUGUGAUUUUCAGUUUUAUUUGUGAGUAUUAAUAUUUAUCUUGUAGUCUGGGGCUUAUAGUGUCUCGCUUUUGACAAUUGUUUCCUUAACAGUUUCCAAUAGUGAUUGUGUGUCAUUUCCUUCAGUGUAAUUUCUUGCCUUUCAUUUUGUUCGAAAUGUUUGCUUUAAUUUCUUUGUCAUUAAGUAGUGCGAUGUUCAUUUUCUUCUGUCUUGUUUAAAUCUGUCUUCGGUUUAUGUCUAUAUAAUUAUUUCUGAAGUGUAUUCUGAUCGUUAUGUGUUCAAUCUCAGCCCUGUUUGUCGUCCUAUGGCGAUCUCCAGCUGUAAAGACUGCGUAAGGGUAAUCUAAAGCAUGCAUUGCAUGCAUUGGUCAUAUCGUCCUCGCUCUGUUCUCAUUCUUCGCCCCGUGGCCAUUUUAAUUCCUACAACGGACUCAAGGCCAUUACAUUACAUUUUUAGUUAUGUAUACUUGGAGCAAUAGUUAAUGGUUCUGACUAAUUCGUGCCCAUUCUAAUCCUCCUGGUAUUGUGCUCACGAUCAGUAAAGGAUCACCCGUUGCCGUUAUCUCUUCUAUACUACCCUUAGUGGGGCUGCUAUUCUGCCAGAUCUGCCUUGUAGGAGCUUAACACUGCUUUUCUUGUAUUACGUAAUGAACUCAAAUUAUCGAAUAACCGUUUUAUGCUCAUAAGCACGAAACAACCAGAUCAGUAAAUUCAUCUUUAUAAAAUAAAAAUGUUACAUAGCCAUUAGGGUUUGUUUCUGAGCUACCGGUACAAUUACAAAAUCCGACAUUUUGGUUAUCGCUUAAAUAGUUGGUGUUACUGAGUUGGAUUAUCAUUGAAAAAAUCAAUUUAAAAAUAGAGGGCAUAAUCUCCCGUGAUUAAAUCUUCAGAAAAUAAAUACUUUUCGUUUUUCUAACACGCCAGUUAUUUGUCGGUCGUGGGGACAACCGUCCGUCCGUCCGUCUUUUUUAUUGCUUCCCCAUUUUACGCGGGGAGAGGACAAUGCAUGGCGAACAAUUCUAGCGAGUAAGUAAUAAAUUAUUUAUUUAGACUAGGUUUUUUUUCUCUGGAGAUAUUAGUUACGUUAAAGUACAAUGACGCAUAAGAUUUGCAGCAAUCCAAUGGAAGUGCCCUGUAAUUAGUUUACUAGUAUUACUCAGGAUCAAAUAAUGCCACUAGUUAAUAUUUGGUUCAAAUAGAAAUGGUUUAAUUUUUGGAUAUGUGGUCCAAUUUUUCUAAUUCAACACAAACUGUGGAUGGAAUAACUGGUCUCAACUUGCAUAUCCAGAAUUUUGUUUAAAGCUAGCGUUGUUUUUUGGUUUGUAUUUUUGCAUUGGUUUGUUUUCAAGAGCGAAAUAACUUUUGACCAACAGUGUGCUUUAAGAAAAGUAUGACUCCCUACUCUUAAUUCUGCUUGUUUGCAAGAAAUUUUCGGUCACUCUUGAUAGCACAGCGAUCAAUAUGAAGAAUCGUUGUCAUGUUCAUCUUUGACAUGAUAAUUUGGAUAAAUUUCAGUACUUAAAAAUAGUUGUAUGGACCCACAUUUUUCUUCUUUAGGUGUUCGACGUUCAUUUCCCUCCUAUUCACUAACAAAUGCAUUUAAAGGCAAUGAAUGCACAAAAUGUGUUCCACUAGGUGUUUUAAUAUUAUGGUAAGUAGUAACUUUUUUAUGCAUUCUUAUACUGGCCAAAAAAACACUUAACGAAAUGUAAUGUAAUGUAAAUGUAAUGUAAGUCAAAACAAAAAAAAAGUUUUACAAUUUUAUCGAACACUAACUUCUUGCAUUAUUGUGGAACUGACUGCAU
This is a long non-coding RNA of Cylas formicarius (sweet potato weevil), 7634 nucleotides long. RefSeq lists it as uncharacterized. NCBI's taxonomy places the organism in Eukaryota, Metazoa, Arthropoda, Insecta, Coleoptera, Brentidae. The record is from RefSeq and is a predicted model, not a curated record. The transcript is spliced from 4 exons.